CCUACGGGGGGCAGCAGUGGGGAAUAUUGGGCAAUGGGCGCAAGCCUGACCCAGCAACGCCGCGUGAAGGAAGAAGGCUUUCGGGUUGUAAACUUCUUUUCUCAGGGACGCAGCAAGUGACGGUACCUGAGGAAUAAGCAACGGCUAACUACGUGCCAGCAGCCGCGGUGAUACGGAGGUGGCAAGCGUUAUCCGGAUUUAUUGGGUGUAAAGGGCGUGUAGGCGGGACUGGAAGUCAGCUGGGAAAAACACGGGCUCAACCUGUGGCCUGCAUUUGAAACUGUAGUUCUUGAGUACUGGAGAGGCAGACGGAAUUCCUGGUGUAGCGGUGAAAUGCGUAGAUAUUAGGAGGAACACCAGUGGCGAAGGCGGUCUGCUGGACAUCAACUGACGCUGAGGCGCGAAAGCGUGGGGAGCGAACAGGAUUAGAUACCCUGGUAGUC
This 443-nucleotide ribosomal RNA is filed under the name uncultured bacterium. Its description in RNAcentral is "partial 16S ribosomal RNA". It matches the Rfam family "Bacterial small subunit ribosomal RNA", at positions 338 to 795 of the family's 1533-position model. The record is from RNAcentral.